CAAGGCUUGACAUAUACGAGAACGGGCCAGAAAUGGUCAACUCUUUGGACACUCGUAAACAGGUGGUGCAUGGUUGUCGUCAGCUCGUGUCGUGAGAUGUUGGGUUAAGUCCCGCAACGAGCGCAACCCUCGUUCUAUGUUGCCAGCACGUAAUGGUGGGAACUCAUGGGAUACUGCCGGGGUCAACUCGGAGGAAGGUGGGGAUGACGUCAAAUCAUCAUGCCCCUUAUGUCUUGGGCUUCACGCAUGCUACAAUGGCCGGUACAAAGGGCUGCAAUACCGUGAGGUGGAGCGAAUCCCAAAAAGCCGGUCCCAGUUCGGAUUGAGGUCUGCAACUCGACCUCAUGAAGUCGGAGUCGCUAGUAAUCGCAGAUCAGCAACGCUGCGGUGAAUACGUUCCC
Molecule: ribosomal RNA, 401 nt
Filed under: uncultured bacterium
Lineage: Bacteria
Description: bacterial SSU rRNA
Rfam family: Bacterial small subunit ribosomal RNA
Source: RNAcentral